This is a long non-coding RNA of Daktulosphaira vitifoliae (grape phylloxera), 2048 nucleotides long. RefSeq lists it as uncharacterized. The record is from RefSeq and is a predicted model, not a curated record. The transcript has 2 exons. NCBI's taxonomy places the organism in Eukaryota, Metazoa, Arthropoda, Insecta, Hemiptera, Phylloxeridae.
AAGAAAAUAAAACUCUUAGUGAUAUUUAACAGUGUUUAAUAAUAAAUAAAUAUACUUUACAUUGUAGAAACGUAACACAAUAAUAUUGUUUAUAAAGGUAUACAUUUUGGCAGCUUAAGAAACAAGAACAUGCUGAACUACGCUGUAAUUAACCUUCACUUUUAAAUUUUCAAAUAAGUGAGGAGCACCUAAAAAUGAAUGCUACUUAACAACCAUUUAAAAAAUAUAUCAGUUAACCAAAGAUCUUUGGCAAUAAUGGAAUGGAUAUGAAAGUAGUCACCUGAUGAAUAUAUCUAAACUGAGCAAAAAAUUUUUUAUUUACCUGAAGUUCUCCAGUUAUUGCACUCAUAACAAAUACUUGUUUUCCACAUGCUACAUACAACGAUAAAUUAAUUGGUAAAAUACAUGUUAUAGGAUCAUUAGAACCUAAAAUAACCACUUCAGGUUCUUUUGAUUGAUUUCCCCUUCUAUACAGCAGUAAUGAACCAUUUGAUAAUGCAACAAAAACAGUAUCACAGUGAUGUUUUAUGGCAGUAACUCGAAGACUUUCAUCUUCUCCGGGUAAUAAAAUACUUGCUUCUUCAGACAUAUCAGCUGUAUUAAAAAUUAAUAUACUACAAAAAAUAUAAAUAAACAAAAAUUAGUACUCAAAUGUAAAAAAAUUGUAUAAAAUACUAAGUUACCUUUUAUGAUUAGUUCCCAUCCAAACAGUAUCAGAAGCUCUAACAUAUUCUAUAGCACUAACUAUAGUUUGGGGUAAGUCUAAUGUUGUGAUUUGUUUCAGAAUACAAGUAUUAUUCACAGACAUUAUUGCUAUAUGUGUAUUUAUUGGUAUACUAGUUGUACAAACCCAUAAAUACGAAAACUUUCCACAACCCGAAGAAUAAUAGCAGCCACAUGUAACCUGUUAAUAAUCGUUAAGUUUUUUAUAUUGAAUCAUUAAAAUAUUUUAAAUAGUUACAAAUCUAUAACUUUAAUUUACAUAUUGAUUUACGAGAAGAAAUUAAUAUACAUAUUUUAGAAAUUCUAAUGUAAAUUUUAUAUUAUAAUUUAGCACAAAAAUAUCAAGGAUCAUUUAACAUUUACCUCAGAUUCUUUACUAGAGGAUGAUAUUGGAUGUGCCCCUACAAAUAAGGGCAUUUUUGCCAUAGGACGCAUUAACUCUUGGUCAGGAACCUCCCAAGCUGGUGAAUUGUUAGGAUCAAGAGCCAAACGUGCUAACCGCAAUUCUAGAUAAAAAUCAGAAAUUAAAAUAGUAAGAAAAAAAUUACAUAGAAAAACAUACACAUUUUUCUACUUACCAGUUAUCCAUGCUUUACGCAUAUCUGGAUUUUCCAUUUGAAAAGUAUAUCCUUGUCGGUUUACAAACAAUUGAAGACAGCAUGAAUCCAUCCAUGCAACUUGAUCUCCUUUAUAUUGAACUUCACAUUGAAUUGCAUUCAAAAUUCCUUUUAAAUGUUCUGGGGCUAAAUCCUUAAACAGAAAUGAAAAAAAUUAGGUUUCCAAAGUAUUGUCAAUAAUUAAACUUAAUAUGUUAACUCUUUAUUCAGAUAUAUACAUAUUAUAUAUUUAGAAGCCCAGGAUAUUAAGAAAAGUAGUUUUAAUUUAUAUCAAGAGAAAAAAAUUAUUUAUAAGCUAUACAACUUCAAUCUUGAUUAAUAUAGUUAAAAAAAAUGUUAAGUCAGGCUACUUCAAUAUGUGUUCAUUUUUCCAAUAUUUUCAAAUAUUAUUAGUAAAAGAAUUGUUAAUUAUUUUUAAUUUGAAGGUAACUCAAAUUUUUAACUGGAUAUAAUUUAAGACAUUUGAUAAAUAUUUAAUGUUAUAAAAAAAAAUUAAUAAAACAAACAUUAUUUUAAAUAAUUUAUUUACUUAUUUGAUUAUAAUCAAUAAUAUUAAUAUAAAAAAAUUAUCUUACUAAAUAGGUGCCUUUUAAUGUUGAAGCUAACUCAACAAUACGACUUAUUACUUGGUAAUCAUUCAUCAGGUGAUUCAUUUCAUUGCACAAAUUAUCUGUUGUUAUAUUAUUUUGUGAUACUGUACUUCCAAUU